UGCGAUAUGAGAACUAUAGGUUAGCUUGAAAGUGCAAAACAAAAGAAAAAUCCAAAAAGCAAAAGUAAUACGAGUAGAAAAAGUUCUCAAAAAAUAAAAAGCAUUCAUGAGUGAGAUAAGCUGAAAAAGAAAGUGACAAAGUCACAAAAGAAAGAGAAACCCGUUCAUUAGUGCACAGAAACUCAUAGGCUAGCUGUAGUUACUAUGUCGUGCUAUGAUUUCUUA
Molecule: long non-coding RNA, 225 nt
Filed under: Gossypium barbadense (sea-island cotton)
Lineage: Eukaryota; Viridiplantae; Streptophyta; Magnoliopsida; Malvales; Malvaceae
Description: long non-coding RNA (GBAR_LNC014110)
Source: RNAcentral